This 173-nucleotide small RNA is filed under the name Actinomyces radicidentis. RNAcentral describes it as "c-di-AMP sequence". It matches the Rfam family "c-di-AMP riboswitch aptamer (ydaO/yuaA leader)", at positions 11 to 119 of the family's 134-position model. From Rfam's summary of the family: This family represents a conserved RNA structure found upstream of the ydaO and yuaA genes in Bacillus subtilis and related genes in other bacteria. The ydaO/yuaA element is thought to act as a genetic "off" switch for the ydaO and yuaA genes in its native state. Lineage: Bacteria; Bacillati; Actinomycetota; Actinomycetes; Actinomycetales; Actinomycetaceae. The record is from RNAcentral.
AGCCAAAACCUGCCGGCGUGCACGUCCUCCGCAAGAACACAGCAUCGGCAGGUCCGGGGGAACCAAUUUCCUUCCGGCCAGACGGUCACUGCGACCUGAAGGCCUUGGGGUGAAGCCCGCGCAAGCGGGCCGGGCAACUCCUCGCCCGAACCCGACAGCUAACUCCGUCGGCU